GGGCCUAUAGCUCAGUUGGUCAGAGCAGCGGACUCAUAAUCCGUUGGUCCUAGGUUCAAGUCCUAGUGGGCCCA
Legionella quinlivanii is the source of this 74-nucleotide transfer RNA. It matches the Rfam family "tRNA". From Rfam's summary of the family: Transfer RNA (tRNA) molecules are approximately 80 nucleotides in length. Their secondary structure includes four short double-helical elements and three loops (D, anti-codon, and T loops). The record is from Rfam. NCBI's taxonomy places the organism in Bacteria, Pseudomonadati, Pseudomonadota, Gammaproteobacteria, Legionellales, Legionellaceae.